RNAcentral lists this ribosomal RNA (230 nucleotides) under uncultured microorganism. RNAcentral's name for it is "partial 16S ribosomal RNA". It matches the Rfam family "Bacterial small subunit ribosomal RNA", at positions 524 to 753 of the family's 1533-position model. The record is from RNAcentral.
UACGGAGGGUGCGAGCGUUAAUCGGAAUUACUGGGCGUAAAGCGCUCGUAGGCGGUAUGUCAAGUCAAGGGUGAAAUCCCCGCGCUCAACGUGGGAACUGCCUUUGAAACUGGCAAACUGGAGUGUGUGAGAGGAUAGUGGAAUUCCAGGUGUAGGAGUGAAAUCCGUAGAUAUCUGGAGGAACAUCAGUGGCGAAGGCGACUAUCUGGCACAUAACUGACGCUGAGGAG